This 828-nucleotide ribosomal RNA is filed under the name Streptomyces edwardsiae. RNAcentral describes it as "bacterial SSU rRNA". It matches the Rfam family "Bacterial small subunit ribosomal RNA", at positions 1 to 843 of the family's 1533-position model. Lineage: Bacteria; Bacillati; Actinomycetota; Actinomycetes; Kitasatosporales; Streptomycetaceae. The record is from RNAcentral. RNAcentral also lists the same sequence under 1 other name.
UUCACGGAGAGUUUGAUCCUGGCUCAGGACGAACGCUGGCGGCGUGCUUAACACAUGCAAGUCGAACGAUGAACCACUUCGGUGGGGAUUAGUGGCGAACGGGUGAGUAACACGUGGGCAAUCUGCCCUGCACUCUGGGACAAGCCCUGGAAACGGGGUCUAAUACCGGAUACUGACCCUCGCAGGCAUCUGCGAGGUUCGAAAGCUCCGGCGGUGCAGGAUGAGCCCGCGGCCUAUCAGCUUGUUGGUGAGGUAAUGGCUCACCAAGGCGACGACGGGUAGCCGGCCUGAGAGGGCGACCGGCCACACUGGGACUGAGACACGGCCCAGACUCCUACGGGAGGCAGCAGUGGGGAAUAUUGCACAAUGGGCGAAAGCCUGAUGCAGCGACGCCGCGUGAGGGAUGACGGCCUUCGGGUUGUAAACCUCUUUCAGCAGGGAAGAAGCGAAAGUGACGGUACCUGCAGAAGAAGCGCCGGCUAACUACGUGCCAGCAGCCGCGGUAAUACGUAGGGCGCGAGCGUUGUCCGGAAUUAUUGGGCGUAAAGAGCUCGUAGGCGGCUUGUCACGUCGGUUGUGAAAGCCCGGGGCUUAACCCCGGGUCUGCAGUCGAUACGGGCAGGCUAGAGUUCGGUAGGGGAGAUCGGAAUUCCUGGUGUAGCGGUGAAAUGCGCAGAUAUCAGGAGGAACACCGGUGGCGAAGGCGGAUCUCUGGGCCGAUACUGACGCUGAGGAGCGAAAGCGUGGGGAGCGAACAGGAUUAGAUACCCUGGUAGUCCACGCCGUAAACGGUGGGCACUAGGUGUGGGCGACAUUCCACGUCGUCCG